UUCCUCCAUAGAAACCUUCCAUAGAGAUUCUGUUACUUAGCUCCGUUAAUCCAUGUGAGUUUUGUAAAUAAGUAUGCUUAUGGUGUGUUUACUCAUGUAUUAGCAUAUAUUAGUGCUCAUGGUUUGUAUUUAAGUUUGCUUAAGCUCAUGUAUUAGCAUAUCUCUAAUAACAAUAAAGGGUUUGUUAGCAUAUCUCAAUACUAAGGUGAACGCAAGC
This 217-nucleotide long non-coding RNA is filed under the name Elaeis guineensis (African oil palm). RNAcentral describes it as "long non-coding RNA (EGUI_LNC049169)". Lineage: Eukaryota; Viridiplantae; Streptophyta; Magnoliopsida; Arecales; Arecaceae. The record is from RNAcentral.